RNAcentral lists this ribosomal RNA (763 nucleotides) under Aphelenchoides pannocaudus. Its description in RNAcentral is "SSU rRNA". It matches the Rfam family "Eukaryotic small subunit ribosomal RNA", at positions 50 to 841 of the family's 1831-position model. The record is from RNAcentral. Lineage: Eukaryota; Metazoa; Nematoda; Chromadorea; Rhabditida; Aphelenchoididae.
CAUGCAUGUGUAAGUAGAGUGUUAUAAAGCGAAACUGCGAACGGCUCAUUACAACAGAUAUAAUUUACUUGUUCUUUGAUUUAAAUGGAUAACUGCGGUAAUUCUGGAGCCAAUACAUGCUUAAAGCCCCGACUUCGGUUGGGGUGCUAUUAUUGGAGCAAAACCAUUCGUUAGUCCUUUUGCUAACUCUGGAUAAUACUGCGUAUCGUACGGUCUCGAACCGACGAAGUUACUUUCAAGUAUCUGCCCUAUCAACUGUCGUUGGUAGUGUAUUGGACUACCAUGGUGUUAACGGGUAACGGAGGAUCAGGGUCUGACUCCGGAGAGGGAGCCUUAGAAACGGCUACCAUGUCUAAGGAUAGCAGCAGGCGCGAAAAUUACCCAAUAUCAAUACGAUGAGGUAGUGACGAGAAAUAACGAGACCGUUCUCUAUGAGGUCGGUCAUUGGAAUGGGUACAAUCUAGACAAUUUAACGAGUACCUACAGAAGGGCAAGUCUGGUGCCAGCAGCCGCGGUAAUUCCAGCUUCUGUAAUUUAUAGAAUUAUUGUUGCGGUUAAAAAGUUCGUAGUUGGAUUGUUAAACUAUCUCGGGUCCACCUUAACGGGUGGUUACUCGUGGGUAGUAUUUUACGCGUUUGUAUGCAUGGACUCACGUCUGUGUAUGCUGCGUGUAGGAUUACUUUGAACGGCUUAAGUGCUUAAAGCGAGUCUUAUGACUGAAUACCGGUGCAUGGAAUAAUGGAACAAGGUUUCGGCCGAGUUU